This 519-nucleotide ribosomal RNA is filed under the name Metschnikowia sp. (in: budding yeasts & allies). RNAcentral describes it as "eukaryotic LSU rRNA". It matches the Rfam family "Eukaryotic large subunit ribosomal RNA", at positions 50 to 656 of the family's 3401-position model. The record is from RNAcentral. Lineage: Eukaryota; Fungi; Ascomycota; Pichiomycetes; Serinales; Metschnikowiaceae.
GCGGAGGAAAAGAAACCAACAGGGAUUGCCUCAGUAACGGCGAGUGAAGCGGCAAAAGCUCAAAUUUGAAAUCCCCCGGGAAUUGUAAUUUGAAGAGAUUUGGGUCCGGCCGGCGGGGGUUAAGUCCACUGGAAAGUGGCGCCACAGAGGGUGACAGCCCCGUGAACCCCUUUAACGCCCUCAUCCCAGAUCUCCAAGAGUCGAGUUGUUUGGGAAUGCAGCUCUAAGUGGGUGGUAAAUUCCAUCUAAAGCUAAAUACCGGCGAGAGACCGAUAGCGAACAAGUACAGUGAUGGAAAGAUGAAAAGCACUUUGAAAAGAGAGUGAAAAAGUACGUGAAAUUGUUGAAAGGGAAGGGCUUGCAAGCAGACACUUAACUGGGCCAGCAUCGGGGCGGCGGGAAACAAAACCACCGGGGAAUGUACCUUUCGAGGAUUAUAACCCCGGUCUCUAUUUCCUUACUGCCCCGAGGCCUGCAAUCUAAGGAUGCUGGCGUAAUGGUUGCAAGUCGCCCGUCUUG